This is a long non-coding RNA of Cyprinus carpio carpio, 684 nucleotides long. Lineage: Eukaryota; Metazoa; Chordata; Actinopteri; Cypriniformes; Cyprinidae. The record is from Ensembl.
CCUGUACGUGCCUGCCUCAGCACAACCCAUCAGCUUCAGCCAAACUAUGAUCUGUUUUUUUUUUCCCUAGAAACGAAAAGAAGACUGAGAGAGGAUGACAAAUUGGCAUGAUUACAGCAAUAAUAUCAGCCAGAAGAUCACAAUGGCAGAACUCACUUACAAAAGUACUGUGUUUGAUUUGCCAGAGCUCUGAAGUGGGAAAGCAAUGGGGCGAUCCUGGCAUUCCAGGGCUCUGUCGCGUCGUCUCCUGGUCUCUAAUUUGGGAGCAGCUGUCGGGCUCUGCAAGACAUCAGCCAUCCAAGCCCAGCUAAAUUCCCUACAGAAAAGCCCUAACUCCCCAGCAUGCUUUCCAAUCUCAGCCUGUAUCAAUUCAGCUCCUUCCUUAUUGCCAUUGGACAAACAGAGGAAGAAGUAGUAAAUCCCAUAUCCCAACAAUAAGAUCAACCCUGGGGCUCAGGCAGGAAAAGAAGCUGUACCAGUGGGACUCAGGGCCCAAAGGGAUGUGGUGGUGGGGAACUGCUAAUCAAAGAUAAGGGGUCAUCUGUAUCCUUUCACAUAUUUGGUACUUUUUCCCCCAUUGUGUAGCUUUGUGUAUUUGCAGGUUCAGUAGUUGUUAGAUGUUAAAGGUCUUGUUUUCUGAGCUGUUAAUGCAGUACAUGCUGAUUGUGAUCUGUGACUGUUUUU